Molecule: long non-coding RNA, 1061 nt
Organism: Pan troglodytes (chimpanzee)
Lineage: Eukaryota; Metazoa; Chordata; Mammalia; Primates; Hominidae
Exons: 3
Source: RefSeq, a predicted model, not a curated record
CUUACGAACCUGCAGGGGCAGGGGGUUUCCCAGGACCCCAAGAGCACAAGGAUAUCUGGGUCAGGAGCCACAGCCGGGUGGCUGCCACUGCACCUGGGAACACUGGGCUCCUGAUUGUUCCCAGCCCUUGCCAGCUCCACAGAUUGCACAUCCCCAGUCAAGCCUCCUCCACUGCAGCUGGCUUCCAUGUAGUAGCUGUUCCAGAUGGGCCACCACUGCCACCAAGAAGAUGAACAACAAGAACAUAGCAAGAAACACGACUUCGGAUAUAGCAAAAAGAAAAAUGGGACUGAAAGAAAUUACCUUUCUACUUGACCCCAAGAUGCACUGUCAUGUCAUUUAUUCUGCAAAUGCAUCAGCCUGGCCUAUGUCUGGAGAACACACAGAGGAUAAUUCUAACAAUGUCAAAUCUAGUGGAAAAACAGCCUAUUGCGAGCACCCCUAUGAGGAGAGAGGUCCAUCUGAAGACGAAUUGAUAUCUCUCAUCAACAGCCAGUAAAAUUCUGAGGCCUGCCUAUAGCUACAUGAGUGAGUGUGAAAGAGCGUCUUUUGAGGCCUACUGUCAGUCCCUUUGACAAGUUUUGGGGUGGAUUAUCUUCCAAUUCAGCUCUAAGAUGACUGUGGCUAAAUAACAUCUUGGAUAAGCUGAUUCACUUCGGUGUCCUUAGAGACCUUGAGCCAGAGGAACACAACUGAACUACAUUCACAACUCAUCUCAAUGCAAGGUCACUUCAGAAGUCUGGAGGCUUCUAUAACAGCACACAGGAUCAAAGGAAGGACCCUCCACUCAAGAAUAAUCUGUCAUGACUGCGGCUAAUAUCAACGUUAUCCAAGACCUUAUUUAGGUUCCUUGAAAGCUGGUAUCUGUGCAGCUUCCAUUCAGGUGGAAGGUAUUGAAAUCAUCAUAGACUGGCAAAAAUGGCCAAGCGCAGUGGCUUACACCUGUAAUCCCAAUACUUUGGGAGGUCAAGGCGGGCAGAUCACUUGAGCUCAGUAGUUCGAAACCAGCAUGGGCAACAUGGUAAAACCCUGUCUCAACUGAAAUAAAAAAGUUAACUGGA